Long non-coding RNA from Hemicordylus capensis (graceful crag lizard), 1596 nucleotides. RefSeq lists it as uncharacterized. NCBI's taxonomy places the organism in Eukaryota, Metazoa, Chordata, Lepidosauria, Squamata, Cordylidae. The record is from RefSeq and is a predicted model, not a curated record. The transcript is spliced from 4 exons.
UGCCUCCAGGCUGCCAAGGGCUGUGCCCAGCGGGACGAUGAGGAUGGUGUAGCCUCUUUGAACGGCCAUUGUGGCGCUGUGGUGGCAGGGAGGCAGCAGCGCCCACAGGAGGAGAGGCGGGUUCCACCCCGGCAUUCCAGCUGGACAGGAGGGGUCCCCAAUAUCACCCCCGCUUGAGGGAGGAAAAGGUCUCCGAGGCAGCUACCUCGCUUUGCCGAGCAACAUUUCCCCAUCCAUCCUCCCCUCCAGAUCUGCUCUCUUGCUCUUCCUCACGGUUCACCUACUUCCAGCCCAUUGCCACCCUAGUCAGCAGUGCUGUGACCCCGAGGCCUGGUGCUGUAAUGCGAACUGAAACCCCAAAUUCCUUCAGAAGAAACCCCCUCACACUUCUCCUCCUAACCUGUCUCCACUCUCCCGCAAGACUAACCCUCCCUCUACCCCAUCCAAUUCUCCUUUCCGUUUUCCUUUUUAAUCCACUCACACGCCUCCUCAAAUCCCACCACAGCUGCCUCUCAACCCCACCCCCUCCACACUGACUUCCCACCUUCUGGCCUCACUUCCCCCGCCCGCCCGCGGCAGUCUCCCUUCUCACCCUCCUGUCCAACAACCUUCUCUCCAGUCACCCCAAACACUCUUCUCCUCUUCCUCCUCCCUUUCUGACAAGGGCUUUCCUUAUCACCCUGCCACACAGAGCUCCUUUCUCAUCUCCUCCCCACUCUUCCAGCACGGUCCCCUUCUUCCUUCAAACUGCUUUGCACUGAUUGAUUUCCAUCACCCCCGGCUCUCCCCUCAGUCUUUUCUUCUGCCUGUCACACUCCCUUUCCCCCUAGGGCAAACACAGUGCCCCAUAUCUCCCCCCACCCUUCCCGUUUGCCCCAAUUUGCUGAACUCAGCACUACGCAGUGUAUCCUGGGAUAGGCUUUAAAGCCUCAGUGGCCUUGGACAAUGGUGGCCAUAAUCCCUGCCUUUCCGGCUGGCCGAAUGAGCUUGCGGGACAGAGAAGUGAUAAAACAACUAUUUGUAUGAACAAUGCAACAUGGGAGUGACAUACCAUGGGAAAUUGCCUGCUCUUUUCCAUGAACUGAAAAAUAAGAAGUUGCCAUUUUCCAGUGCGUAGGAGGAAACAGGUGCAGCAGUACACUUCCUAUCCUGUAUUUCAAGGGGCCUGGAACCAGAUCCACUUCUAAAAUAAAUACAGGAGGCCUUUGUAAGGAUUAUGGAGAUCUCUCUCUCUACAAAAAAGAAGAAUCCAUUUCUAAGGAGAGCAUGGAAGGAUUGAACUAAAAGGUUAGAACAACAAUCGGCUAACCCUUGAAGGCCGCUUCCUUGCUCACCACAUUGUAUUCCACGGCAUUGGAAAUGGUGUGUCUGCGGGGCUCCUUUGGAAUCCGGAUGCUUCGGUGUCGGCCGGCUUGGCACAAGGAACUGUUAAUGCUGCGGGAGCGAGUGACACCUUUCCCAUCAGAUUCUCCUGGAGAAAAGGACCCAAGGCAUGCUUAUACUAUGACUUGCAAUUUUUAUUUUAAAGAAAGAAAUCUACAUAACUCUUAUUUAUGAAGAUCUUACAAAAUCAAGAAUACAUUACCUGGCAGCCAA